This 501-nucleotide ribosomal RNA is filed under the name uncultured bacterium. RNAcentral describes it as "partial 16S ribosomal RNA". It matches the Rfam family "Bacterial small subunit ribosomal RNA", at positions 30 to 523 of the family's 1533-position model. The record is from RNAcentral.
AUUGAACGCUGGCGGCAGGCUUAACUCAUGCAAGUCGAGCGGGGUGAGGUGCUUCGGUACUGAUCCUAGCGGCGGACGGGUGAGUAAUGCUUAGGAAUCUGCCAUUUAGUGGGGGACAACAUUCCGAAAGGAAUGCUAAUACCGCAUACGUCCUACGGGAGAAAGCAGGGGAUCUUCGGACCUUGCGCUAAAUGAUGAGCCUAAGUCGGAUUAGCUAGUUGGUGGGGUAAAGGCCUACCAAGGCGACGAUCUGUAGCGGGUCUGAGAGGAUGAUCCGCCCCACUGGAACGAAGACACGGCCCAGACUCCUACGGGAGGCAGCAGUGGGGAAUAUUGGACAAUGGGGGGAACCCUGAUCCAGCCAUGGCGCGUGUGUGAAGAAGGCCUUUUGGUUGUAAAGCACUUUAAGCGAGGAGGAGGCUUACCAAGCUAAUAUCUUGGAUAAGUGGACGUUACUCGCAGAAUAAGCACCGGCUAACUCUGUGCCAGCAGCCGCCGUAA